UCGAGAAUCUUCCGCAAUGGGCGAAAGCCUGACGGAGCGACGCCGCGUGCUGGAUGAAGUCUUUCGGGACGUAAACAGCUUUUAUCAAGGAGGAAGUCAUUGACGUUACUUGAGGAAUAAGGGGCUCCAAACUCUGUGCCAGCAGGAGCGGUAAUACAGAGGCCCCAAGCGUUAUCCGGAAUUAUUGGGCGUAAAGGGUGUGUAGGCUGUUGUAUUAGUCUUUUGUUAAAGCUCCCGGCUUAACUGGGAAAAAGCAAAAGAAACGGUAUGACUGGAGGGUGCGAGAGGUGAAUGGAACUCUAGGUGUAGGGGUGAAAUCCGUUGAUAUCUAGGGGAACACCAAAAGCGAAGGCAAUUCACUGGCGCAUUUCUGACGCUGAAACACGAAAGCGUGGGUAGC
This 400-nucleotide ribosomal RNA is filed under the name uncultured bacterium. RNAcentral describes it as "bacterial SSU rRNA". It matches the Rfam family "Bacterial small subunit ribosomal RNA", at positions 355 to 769 of the family's 1533-position model. The record is from RNAcentral.